Molecule: long non-coding RNA, 1414 nt
Organism: Musca domestica (house fly)
Lineage: Eukaryota; Metazoa; Arthropoda; Insecta; Diptera; Muscidae
Exons: 3
Source: RefSeq, a predicted model, not a curated record
GUGAAUAACAUUGGUCGGGUGGAGUUAUGUCGGUUGUUUUGUGUGAUACAAAUUUGCACGCUUUGAUGUUAACUCUCAGUGAAUUUUGUGAAUUGUGUGUUAUAAAAACAACAGGAACAGAUGAACAAGUGUCAUAACCAGGAGAAACCCAACAACAGCGGAAGAAGUGUUAAGACAGAAUAAAUGAAAACAUUGCAAUAAUAACUUAAUAUUUUGCGAAAUAAUUAAAAAAAUAACUUGGCCCAAGUAUAUUGUGCUCCAUACCACAGAAAGAUAACUACCCAAAAUCAGCGAGAUUUGGAUCACAAAUGAGAAAAAUAUCAACAAGAGAAAAAAUAAAAUAAUUCUCCCUGUCUUCUGAAUUCCUAAAAGUAGGCUAUGAAAUAAACAAAACAAACAAAGAAAAUCAAUAAAAUAAAUAUAAUAAAAAAUUUCAAAAAUGAAGGAAUCAUUUGAAUCUUCUGACAAAAAGAGAAAAAUUUAAACCUUCGAAAUAUACGACAACAAACUCCGUAAUCAUAUUUUUGAUUCAAUCAAUGAUGACAAUCAUUGCAAAAUAAUCAGCAGCAAACAGAAAUGGGAUAAUUAGAAAAAUUGGCAUCCUUUCAGCUAUUCGCAAGACAUAAGAUGGUGCAGCAAUUAUCUGAGCGCAGAGACUGUCAAAGAUUCUUUUGUGGAUUACCUUAGCAAUCUUUGUGCUCUGCUCAUGCUUCGGUAGAUGUCAUUCUUGAGAAAACAUUUUUUCGGUCAGCAUCAUCUAGAAAGGAAUAUCAUGUCGAGCCUGGUCCUCUUCCGUUGAUGUUGUUGUUAAAGCCAACCAACCCACCUUCCUCCACCCAUGUGGAGUUCGUUGCCUUUAUCAACAAAGGGACAUCGUAAAAAUAUGCCAAAAAGGCUGAUGCUUUGAAUAAAAUGGAACAAUAAGAUGGAGUUUUUGUGGAUGUGUGUGUUUCAAACAUCACGCAUAACCAUGUGGCGGCUACGUGACAAAAAGUAUUCACAAAAUAUUUUUAUUGUUUUCAGCUUAAAACUGGUUUUAAAUUGCAUAAAUGAAUGCGAAUAUUCUUUUGGCAGUCGUUUCUCCUACUCCUUUUCGUUUUUAAUCCUCUUCCGCGCUGCAACAAUGCAAAUAUAUAAAAGCCGUUUACUGUAAACAUGCAAAUCAUAUUUAAUUGUUUUCAGUAUAAUUUUUUUUUGUGCGGAGGAGGAUUUUUAUAUUUGUUUCCGUUUUGAUAACGAAGUUGUUAAAUGGAUGAAAUUAUCAAAAAUUUGGGUCGUAUGAAAUGCUUUCUUUUAUUUUGUAAUAAAUAUGUACAAAAUAAAUGAAUUUCGAUUAAUUCCAGAUAAUUUUGAAUUAUAUGAUAACCACUUAUUCACACACUGACAAUUUUUGCAAUAUUGGAUUUAAUUGAGU